GAUCAUGGCUCAGAUUGAACGCUGGCGGCAGGCCUAACACAUGCAAGUCGAACGGUAACAGGAAGAAGCUUGCUUCUUUGCUGACGAGUGGCGGACGGGUGAGUAAUGUCUGGGAAACUGCCUGAUGGAGGGGGAUAACUACUGGAAACGGUAGCUAAUACCGCAUAACGUCGCAAGACCAAAGAGGGGGGACCUUCGGGUCCGUCUUGUCCAUCGGAGUGUGCCCACGAUGGGAGUUAGCUAGUAGGU
Molecule: ribosomal RNA, 249 nt
Filed under: uncultured bacterium
Lineage: Bacteria
Description: partial 16S ribosomal RNA
Rfam family: Bacterial small subunit ribosomal RNA
Source: RNAcentral